Molecule: transfer RNA, 72 nt
Filed under: Haptophyceae sp. NIES-3900
Lineage: Eukaryota; Haptophyta
Description: tRNA-Val
Rfam family: tRNA
About the family: Transfer RNA (tRNA) molecules are approximately 80 nucleotides in length. Their secondary structure includes four short double-helical elements and three loops (D, anti-codon, and T loops).
Source: RNAcentral
CGGCAACUAGCUCAACGGUAGAGCAUUCAGUUUACACCUGGGCGGUUAUUGGUUCGAAUCCAUUGUUGCGUA